GCGGAUGUGGCGGAAUUGGCAGACGCGCUAGAUUCAGGUUCUAGUGCCCUUCGGGGCGUGGAGGUUCAACUCCUCUCAUCCGCA
This 84-nucleotide transfer RNA is filed under the name Rhodopirellula sp. Its description in RNAcentral is "tRNA-Leu". It matches the Rfam family "tRNA". Rfam says of the family: Transfer RNA (tRNA) molecules are approximately 80 nucleotides in length. Their secondary structure includes four short double-helical elements and three loops (D, anti-codon, and T loops). The record is from RNAcentral. RNAcentral also lists the same sequence under 2 other names. Lineage: Bacteria; Pseudomonadati; Planctomycetota; Planctomycetia; Pirellulales; Pirellulaceae.